Molecule: long non-coding RNA, 350 nt
Filed under: Zonotrichia albicollis (white-throated sparrow)
Lineage: Eukaryota; Metazoa; Chordata; Aves; Passeriformes; Passerellidae
Description: lncRNA (ENSZALG00000006808.1)
Source: RNAcentral
GAAAGACACAGGAGAUGCAAUCUGAGUUCAAAUAAAAUAUCCCUGCUCCUCUCCUUUGACAGGCUGUGCUGAUCCCAUGGAGUCCUCACCAUAAAAAGUUGCCCAGUGAUGCUCUGAAGAGUUAAUCAGCAAGUUCACACCACCUGGAAUGGAAAUUUCUAGAGAUGAAUAUUCUCCUUGCUCCAGGACUUGAGGGCUGACAAUAUUUGCACAGAGCUACAAACUCCAAGCUCAAGGAGAAGUAAAAGUUGUUCAUGCUGGCAAUGCUCAGCCUCACCUGGCAGGAAAAGGUGACCAUUCCAGGGGAGAAGAAACCAAAGACUGACAGCAAAUUUGCUGGUUACCAAGCU